AGUAGGCGGACCGAUGUUGUUUAG
RNAcentral lists this microRNA (24 nucleotides) under Ananas comosus (pineapple). RNAcentral's name for it is "microRNA s1127_c004b". Lineage: Eukaryota; Viridiplantae; Streptophyta; Magnoliopsida; Poales; Bromeliaceae. The record is from RNAcentral.